RNAcentral lists this ribosomal RNA (465 nucleotides) under Vreelandella stevensii. Its description in RNAcentral is "partial 16S ribosomal RNA". It matches the Rfam family "Bacterial small subunit ribosomal RNA", at positions 338 to 795 of the family's 1533-position model. The record is from RNAcentral. Lineage: Bacteria; Pseudomonadati; Pseudomonadota; Gammaproteobacteria; Oceanospirillales; Halomonadaceae.
CCUACGGGGUGCAGCAGUGGGGAAUAUUGGACAGUGGGCGAAAGCCUGAUCCAGCCAUGCCGCGUGUGUGAAGAAGGCCUUCGGGUUGUAAAGCACUUUCAGUGGGGAAGAAAGCCUUGGGGCUAAUACCCUCGAGGAAGGACAUCACCCACAGAAGAAGCACCGGCUAACUCCGUGCCAGCAGCCGCGGUAAUACGGAGGGUGCGAGCGUUAAUCGGAAUUACUGGGCGUAAAGCGCGCGUAGGCGGUCUGAUAAGCCGGUUGUGAAAGCCCCGGGCUCAACCUGGGAACGGCAUCCGGAACUGUCAGGCUAGAGUGCAGGAGAGGAAGGUAGAAUUCCCGGUGUAGCGGUGAAAUGCGUAGAGAUCGGGAGGAAUACCAGUGGCGAAGGCGGCCUUCUGGACUGACACUGACGCUGAGGUGCGAAAGCGUGGGUAGCAAACAGGAUUAGAUACCCUGGUAGUC